Long non-coding RNA from Caretta caretta (loggerhead turtle), 6240 nucleotides. RefSeq lists it as uncharacterized. Lineage: Eukaryota; Metazoa; Chordata; Testudines; Cheloniidae. The record is from RefSeq and is a predicted model, not a curated record.
AGCAAUACAUCUCAAAGAAUACCAGUUAUGGAAAAGAUAACUGUCUUUUCUUCUUCAAAUGCUUACUCAUGUCCAUUCCAUAUUAGAUGACUCCAAAGCAGUACCCUUGAAGGUGGGUAGGAGUUAAUGGAUGUGUAGAUUGCAACAUGGCUCUGAACUCAGCAUCAUCCCUGGCCUGCUGAGUGAUGGGGUAAUGAGUGGUAAACGUGUAAACAGAGGACCACAUUGUGGCUCUACAGAUGUCCUGGAUAGGGAUGUGCGCCAGGAAGGCUGCCAAAGACUCCUGAGCUCUCGAGUGGGCUCUGACAAUCGGCGGCGGUGGAACCUCCGCCAGAUCGUAACAGCUCCUUAUGCAUGAGGUGAUCCAACUGGAAAUCCUCUGGGUGGACACCGGUAGGCCCUUCUUCCUGUUUGCUGUAGCGAUGAAGAGCCAAGUUGAUUUACAGAAGGGCUUGGUAUGUUCUAAGUAAAAAGCCAAGGCCCUUCAGACAUCCAGAGCAUGAAGUUGCCUCUCUUUACUGUCUUGAGUGGUUUGGGACAGAACACCGGGAGGAAGAUGUCCUGGUUCAUACAGAAGGUGGAUACCACCUUCAGAAGGAAGGCUGGGUGGGGCCACAGCUGAACUUUGUCUUUGCAGAAGACUGUGUACAGUAGUUCUGAGGUCAAGGCUUGAAUUUCAGAGACCUGUCUCACCGACAUCACCAUCACCAGGAACGCGACCUUCCAUGACAGGUGGGAAAAGGAGCAGGAACCCAGCAGCUCGAAAGGCGGGCCGGUGAGAGGACCAAGUUAAGGUCCCACAGUGGGACAGGAGCCCAUACCUGUGGGAAGAAUCUCUUGAGCCCUCUCAAGAAUCUGAUUGUCAUGUCAUGGGAAAACACUGCCUGUCCUUGGAUAGGCAAGUGAAAAGCAGAGAUGGCCACAAGAUGCCCUCUAAGGGAAGUGUGUGCCAGGCCCUGGUUCCUCAAAUGGAGCACGUAGUCCAGAACAGCCUGUAUAGAAGAACACGAGGCAGAGAUGCCAUGCUUGGAUGCCCAGGGGGAAAACCUCGUCCACUUGGCCAGGUAAGUCAGUCUAGUUGAGGGCUUUCUACUUCCCAGAAGGACCUAUUGGACUCCUUCCGAACAGGUCCUCUCCUCCGGGUUGAGCCACACACAUCCACACCAGGAGGUGGAGGGACUUGAGGUUGGAGUGUGGGAGCCAACCGUGGUCCUGUGACAGCAGGUCUGGUCGGUUGCGUAGGGGCCAGGGAGGGGGCGCUGACAAGCUCAUGAGUGUGCCGAACCAACACUGGAGAGGCCAUGCCGGGGCGAUCACGACAACCUGCACUUUGUCUCUCUUGAUCUUUGCCAGGACUCUGCUGAUGAGUGGAAUUGGACGGAACGUGUACAUCAGGCUUCCUGACCACAACAGGAGAAAGGCAUCAGAGAGGGAGCCUUUGCUCAGACCUUGCUGAGAACAGAACUAGUGGCAUUUCCUGUUCUGUCUGGUGGCGAACAAGUCCACUUGGGAAGUUCCUCACCUUUGGAAGAUCAUGCAGGCUACCUCUGGAUGGAGUGACCACUCGUGGUGAGAGAAGUAGUCCCUGCUGAGCUGGUCCGCCAGUGUAUUCUUGAUGCCAGGAAGGUGACAAGCUUCCAGGUAGAUUUUGUGGCUGAUGCAGAAGUCCCAUAGAUGGAGGGCCUCUUGACAGAGAGCCAAUGGGCGUGCUCCCCCUUACCUGUUGAUAUAGAACAUCGAGGCUGUGUUGUCCAUCAGGACCCAUACCACCUUACCCAACAGUUGGGGCAGAAAGACACCGCACGCCAGCUGGACUGCUCGGAGCUCUUUGCCAUUUAUGUGCUACUUCGCCUCCUCCGGGGACCACAUCCCCUUUGUCUGGAGGUCUUAGGUGUCCGACACCAACUCAACUGAGUGAUGGGGGUUGUUGAAUGGAACCCCUCCAGGACAGUCUCGUGAUUGGUCCACCAUUGCAGCAAGGUAAGUAUCGCCGGGAAUGGUAAUGAUCUUUUCCAGAGGGUCUCGGGACUGGGAAUAGACCAUUCCCAGCCAUUGUUGCAGGGGCCACAUCCAGAGCCAGGUAUGGUGGAUCACAUAAGUGCAUGCCGCCAUGUGGCUUAGCAGGCACAGAUAAACCCUGGCUGUAGUCAGAGGGAUCACAGAGACUUCCGAGAUGAGGUUCGUCAGCGUAUGGAACCUGUCCCAUGGCAGGAACACCCUGGUGCAGGUCAAGUUGAGGACCGUUCUGAUUAACUCUAUCCUCUGCACCGGCAUUAAUGGCAACUUUUUGUUGUUUACCAGAAGGCCCAGAGGUGGCACGUGGCUUGAAGCACCACAACAUCCCUUUGGACUUAAGACCUGGAACUACCCUCAAUCGUAAACGUACAGAUAGAUCGGGAUACCCCGGCGCCCGAGGUUUUCAAAGUUUGCGAGAACAGAAAAUGAAACAACGCUAGCCGAAGCAGAUGUUCCAGUACCAUCACUGGCAGCAAGAAGGAACUGAGGGUGGCGCCCCUUAUACCGUGCCAUGUGGGCGCCACUCUAGAGAGCGCCAGAGCUGGUCCUCUACAGAUACUGCUAAGGGAAAUACUUCCGGCACUGGUGUAUGUGGCGAGCACACACACCUAAAAUGGAAUUGACAUGAGCAAGCACUUGAAGAACUAGUUUUUCUUAGCUCCAAGCAGCAAAUUUUGGAGGACCUGAGUGAGUUUUUACUGUCCUUAUGCCAGUAAACUCUCAUUGGUCAAAAUGUAAGCUAGGCUAAGAACUACUAUGGAUGCCAAAUCCUGAAUUCCUUAAAAAGUCAUCUCUUAUCACCCAGUUUUUGAAGCAAAGCAGGUUUACUUCCUGAAUUGUUGGUCUCAACACCUCCAAUAGGAUUUUCAUAUGGCACUUAGAAUAUCUGCUUCCUCUCCUUUUAAAAUAAACAGAGGAUCCAUGACUGGGUUACAUGAAACGCACACAAGGGAAUGGUUCCAUUUUUCACAACUGAGAGGAAAAAAUACCUGGAGAAGUUUUCCCACCCACAGCCAGUUAUGAUAACUUGAGGAGUAAUUUUGUAGAUAUCUAGCACGCUAUUGAACCAAACAACUGCAUUCUGUCCUUACCUAUAAAGUAAAAAGCUGUAUUCGCUAUGAAUAUAGUGCAACCUGUCUAAAUUGCCACCCCUAUUUAAACAACGAAUUUGUCAAUCUAAUAAAAAGGCAGAACAGAAUCAUAUUUGAUCAGUUUAGAUUCACCCCUACAGACAAAGCUGUCUCUAAGAAGGGAUAGACAUAUAUGGAACAUCUUUCAGAGAUGGUGCUCGCAACAUUGGGAGCUCUAAGCAGCAAUAUUUUUGGCAUCAGCCCUGCUCGCCCCACACCACAUAAUAAAAAGCAAAUAGGGGGCCCCCCGAAGUUGCUCAGGGUCCUAAGCAAUUGCUGAGUCUGUUUAUGCCUAGUGCCGGCUCUGCCCCAAAACAGGCUUCCUAAACAAGUAUUUCUUUGGUGACUCCAGGCAAUAGCCAAAGAAGGUUACCUAAAGGCACACUGCACAGCACAAUAAGGGGUAAAGCAGCAUUAUUAGAGCAAAGUAUAGAAGACCUGGAAAAAUCAGCUAGGUUCAAGGUAAUUGGUGCCAUUUAACUGCUGCCUUAUGUACAUCAUGAUGUGGAAAGGAUGAUGAAAAUACAACAUUUAAAUGGGCCACUCUCUUAAAACAAGAGGUGUUUCACUAAGUGUGGUCUCUUGUCCAAGUUUCACUGUAUUUUUUUUUGUAGUAACUGACAUUUUUUUCCAAAUAUUUAUUAAGAGAAGUUGUUGAAGGCUAGGAGAGUCUGAGAUUCCAUUACACACAAUGAGUGGAGCAUGUUUAUUGAAAUGUCCAUUCUGCCUGAGAAGGAUGUCAUGGGCGAGGAGAAAAAAAACAAAAAGACCAAUAGGUUUUAGGAUCAGUAUCCCCUAACAGUCUAAUACCUUUGUUGUCUUUUACAGCUCUUAGUAUUUGAAAAGUUGUUCAAAACUGAAGCCUAGAGACCAGAAAAUUUCAAGCCAAUCUGUUUCAACUCACAGAAAGAAGGGUCAAAGUUUAACUUUAAGAUGCUCCUGAAACAAUUUAUGGAGGUUAGAUCAUUCAUGUUAAACUGGUCUUCACACGCAGGAGCUGUUCUUAAGCCACUGUGUGCAUAACACAUUCCUGAACUUAUUUGUGAGUGAAGAACAGCCUUUUCUAAAGACCCCAACACUGUCAGCUGUUUAAUUCUCUAAACACCAUAUGUCUGUUAAAGGGUGUAGCCAGUUUUGUACCUAGCAGGUUUGAACAACGUUUUGGUAGUUUCAUUUAAUCUCAUCAGUAUAGGGGGUUAUGAGGUCAGUCACCUCUGUCAAAGCAUUACAGUAUGGUCAUUGCCAAGUAUCCAUCUCAGCUCCUUUUCAAAGCAUAUAAAUGUAUUAGGAGUCAACAUGGACUAAUUUUGUUUUAUUACAUAUUUACUGUAUUUAAUAACCAAGGUGGCAAUGUAAUUAAAAUGCUUUUAUUUAUCCAGACAGUACACCAAAAUAGAGGUUGAAUUGUACUCUUCGCCACUAUGAACAGUAGAUGCACAUCCAAUCAGUAUUUAACCUCACACAUUUUUUAAUACACCAAUUGCCUAAAUUUGAACAUUCAAGUUUUGUUCACAAGGAUAAGAAUUAGGUAGAUCACAGUCCUAAGGAGCCUCACUUAGCAGUCACUCAAAACCCUGGUGCCAGAUUGUCCCCUCCUGCACAGAACUUUCUAAAAGGAAAAAAAAAAUGUUCCCGGGGCUUUCAUUUUGCAGAAAACCAAUGUCAAUCCUUCCUCAACAGUGGACAGGAGCUACCAUGAGGGGGGAAGAAGGUAUAGCACGCUGUUGAGCCCAGUAUUUGGAGUGCAAAUGCCAUGUCUCCCCUCUUCCUUACUAGCAUGCCUUGUAAUUAUACUGCCGUUCACUCCCCCAUUGCAACUGCACAAUCCCACCCUUUCUAGAGACAUAUAAGGUACAGAAUGGAAGUUAACUGUGACCAAAGUAAUAAUUCCUGCCACAUUUGCCACUUCCCAGGAGAGCAUGCCACUGACUGCAUCCCAUGUUUACCAUUCAUCCUGCUCAGCCAGACAUACACCUACAGUGUCCCAACCACAUAGCAUUCACAUGGUAAGGCUUCCAUCAGUUCAAGCAUUCAGUAUAAAUGCAGCUUCUUUCUUUAACUGUUACUUUUGGAAACCUCAGUGUGUGUUUACAAAGAGAUUCUCCAAAAGUAAUUCACAGUAGAUUAUGCAUGCAUGGCCCACAAAAAGAGCCUCUAUAACUCAAAGUUUUAAAAUAACCUCACAAAAAAACCCCACAAAAUUGAUUUCCUUCUGUGGCCUUGAAUAUUUAAAUAUGCUCACUCAAACCCACAAUCCCCAACUCUUAUUAUCAAGCGAUCGCUUACCUCUCAAGAUAAGGUAGCCUUGUGAGUUAUUGCCGUUACCCUGGCUGAACUCCAUAGCACCUUUGCCUAUCCGACUCUAGACCGGUCAUGAAUUUUUGAAUUUGCUCAGCUGCAACAAGGAUGAAAUGGUGUAAUUAAAGUAUUGUGUAGUUAGUAAAUAAAAAUUCUCACCCUUUGCUGUUGUGCAAAAUCUAAGAGUAGUCAUGACAGAUUUCAACUAACUUACAGAAAAAAAAUUCUGUUCCCAAUUAGAAGACUAUAUAGGAAAUUAAGUAUUUAUCAGUCCAGAUUGCCCAAAGUAACACUGAUUCCAGAAAGUGUCUAAUUCCCCAUGCCACCUGCGGGUAAGAUAUCCAAAGAGCUAUCAUGACACACUGAAUUACAGAACAGAGGAAACAGGUAAUAUAAAAACUAAGAUCUGCAUGGAGACCUUAAGUAAGACACUGUUGCUAUCUAUAUCUUCACAUAGACUGAGAAUGUCCUAGCAUACACUUUACCCCCAUAGAAAAAAUACUAGUCAGAUGUCACACUAAAUACCUAUUUGUAUUUCAGCUACUUACAACAGAAAAAGCAAUGGCCGUACGGCAAGUGCAUCAUAUACCAUCUACUUUCCCCAAUUUUCCAAACCCGGUGUCAAAACCUACCAUAAAACAAAACUGCCACUUUUCAGGGCCAGUGCUUUAUGUAUUUUUUGUAAGCAGUCUUUAAAAAACCCUCAAUACUAAAUAAUGAGUCAAAUUGUAGACACUCACAUUGUUUUACAUUGUAUAUCAACCAUUAGCUAUGUUUUAAUAAAAGUUGAAGAUCA